AGCCUAAUAGUAUAUUCGGUAAAGCAUGAGACUCAUAAUCUAAGGUUUGUGGGUUCGAGCCCCAAUUUGGGCAA
Non-coding RNA from Podarcis lilfordi (Lilford's wall lizard), 74 nucleotides. NCBI's taxonomy places the organism in Eukaryota, Metazoa, Chordata, Lepidosauria, Squamata, Lacertidae. The record is from the annotation of a GenBank genome assembly.